RNAcentral lists this transfer-messenger RNA (353 nucleotides) under Hyphomicrobiales bacterium. It matches the Rfam family "Alphaproteobacteria transfer-messenger RNA". Rfam says of the family: Bacterial tmRNA, also known as 10Sa RNA or SsrA, is named for its dual tRNA and mRNA-like properties. Its role is to liberate the mRNA from a stalled ribosome. The record is from RNAcentral. Lineage: Bacteria; Pseudomonadati; Pseudomonadota; Alphaproteobacteria; Hyphomicrobiales.
CCCCUGUUCAAGGCGCGAUAAAGCGCUUAUAUUGGUCGGGCUGUCGCAAGACGGCUAUGGUGAUAAAUGGACAUCGUAAUAGGCCUUUCGGACCCGGGGGCGGUACCCGGCGCCUCCACCCAAGCGGUUAUUGACCGUUUCGGCGGGGGCGAAAUAGCUUCGACGGGGGGUUAAAAGGGUGGUCUUUUGCCCGGCAUGAUACCGCCGUUAUCGGGUCAAAACAGUAGUUGCAAAUGACAACUAUGCUCCGGUGGCCCUCGCUGCGUAAUGCAGUGCUGGUACCGAAAUCAAAGCCCUGAGGGUUAGCCCCUUCAGGCGGGGUUUGGAGGCACCUGGCAACAGAAGCCUCCGCU